This 467-nucleotide unclassified non-coding RNA is filed under the name Hevea brasiliensis (rubber tree). The record is from RNAcentral. Lineage: Eukaryota; Viridiplantae; Streptophyta; Magnoliopsida; Malpighiales; Euphorbiaceae.
CCUUUUGUUCCAACAAUGUGCCUUGUCAAGGCAAAUUCACCUUCCUGUGCUUCUGCUGACCUUGCCUUGGCAAGAUUUGCAAUCUUAGCCCUGAAAUUGCUAUCAAGAAGAACAUUACUACUUUUUAUAUUCUUGUGCACAUGAGGAGGGCUAGUAAAACUAUGCAGAUAGUUAAGCCCUGUUGCCACAUCCAAAGCAAUCUGUACUCUCUGCGUCCAAUUUAAGAACUUCCCAUCAUUGUUGGUGUUACAAAUCCAAUCACUCAAUGGUCCAUUUGCAGCAUAUUCAUAAACCAGAAACCAAUGUCCGUCACUGAAACAAACACCAGAGAGGCGAACAAGAUUAAAAUGGUUGAUCUUGUUCAAUAAAUAUAUCUCCUUUGAAACAUCACCACUCACUUUCUUAAUCGCAGCAUAAUCACCAUUAAUUAAGCCACGAUAAACAGAUCCGCUAAUCCAACAACUGGG